This 408-nucleotide ribosomal RNA is filed under the name Acholeplasma sp. RNAcentral's name for it is "bacterial SSU rRNA". It matches the Rfam family "Bacterial small subunit ribosomal RNA", at positions 1 to 403 of the family's 1533-position model. The record is from RNAcentral. Lineage: Bacteria; Bacillati; Mycoplasmatota; Mollicutes; Acholeplasmatales; Acholeplasmataceae.
UUUAAAUGGAGAGUUUGAUCCUGGCUCAGGAUGAACGCUGGCGGCGUGCCUAAUACAUGCAAGUCGAACGAAGUUGUUACUUGUAACAACUUAGUGGCGAACGGGUGAGUAACACGUAGGUAACCUGCCCUUUAGUUGGGAAUAACCAUUGGAAACGAUGGCUAAUACCGAAUAAGUAAUUUGGUGGCAUCACUAAAUUAUAAAAGAACCUGAAAGGGUUCGCUAAGGGAGGGACCUGCGUCGCAUUAGUUAGUUGGUAAGGUAACGGCUUACCAAGACAGUGAUGCGUAGCCGGACUGAGAGGUUGAACGGCCACACUGGGACUGAGACACGGCCCAGACUCCUACGGGAGGCAGCAGUAGGGAAUUUUCGGCAAUGGGGGGAACCCUGACCGAGCGACGCCGCGUG